Esox lucius (northern pike) is the source of this 3798-nucleotide long non-coding RNA. NCBI's taxonomy places the organism in Eukaryota, Metazoa, Chordata, Actinopteri, Esociformes, Esocidae. The record is from Ensembl.
CGUUGAUUCCCACUGCUCAUGACUUUUCAUGAAAAAAUUAUAUGGAUCUGAUUGGCAUGUAAAGAUACCCACACAGGUAUCUCGGUAUGAUUUGAAAAUGUGUUGACGACUCCUUAACCAAACGUAGCAGACGAAAGCCAAUCAAUGGCUACCAGGGGCGGAGAGUGGCUUGUCUGUCAGGUCGGCGCUAUAAUGAAUUGAAUAGGGAGGGAGGGGGAGAAUCCAAUCCGGUUUGAGCUAGUUUUUGUUCCAAUCGAACAUUAACGUCUUGCUAGGCUGUAAUAGAACGUACUGUUUGAAUCUUAUACCGAACAUACUGUAUUUUCUUUCUCGGUUUUGGAAGAUUUCCCUGUUUUUUUCUUUACACGAAACAGCCAUGCCUAAAAGGAGCAAAGUAAGUACAGUGUUUUCUUUAUUGAUUUUUUUGUGUCCUUUGACAGAUGCAAAUCAAAUUGCAUUAAAUGCAUUUGGUUUUGCAUGUACAAUUGUUAAAAUGUAGAGGCAAAUGCAUGUUGUUUUGGUCCGCUCCGCUGCAAUGUUGCACUGCUCUGUGUGCAGUCAGGAGUUUAAAAUGUAUCACUCUGUUUUGAUUUGGGAAGUGGCGGGUUUUCUUCGUCUUAUCUUUUUCAUGCUGUGAUUUUACUCUUCGAAAAUUAGGACCGGUUAAAUGUGCGGUACCUAUUAUUUACCCAGUCAUAUCGGUUAUGCAUUGUGGUUUUUGUCACAUUUUCACAGUGGUUGUUUACAAUACAUUACAUUUACCUUUAGACAGACAAAGAGGUGUAGGUCGUGAGAUGGCCAUUCUGCAGAAAUAAAGUUGGUGACACCGAUCUUUUACUAGGAUUGCACGUUUUGUAAAAUAUAACAUUUAAUUUAGACUGUAUUUCAUGCACCCAUGUCUAAAUACGUUGUAAUAUAAAGUAUAAUAUAGCCGUAUAUAUUACUCAAUGUAUACUGGGCAGUAAGGUAUGCACAUGCCGAAGACUAUUUCUUGGGCUCUUCGUAAAGGGCACGAAGUAUCUGUGUGUCAUGGCUACCCUUGUGGGCAAGACAAACACUGACGACGUUUUCCUUUACUUUCCCAUAUCAAAAUGCAUCGUUAUGUAUAUUUUGUUAUAUGUAAAGUGUACGCAUGCAACAUGUUGUAUCGUUAAUGUUUUCCGUGGUUACAUUUCAUUUUCAUGUGCCCUUUCGUUUUUGUUGUUUCCUCGUGCCAAUUAUGGGUUAUGCAAUGGCGAUUCGUCGACAUCACUGAGGCGCAGUGUUGCUGGGGAUUCUAGUAGAUUCUGUAACCAUUUGGAGAAUCGCUGAGGAUCUCGGAGAGUUCGAAAUUCGAAUGAAUGGCGGGAACACAUAGUAGACAGGCUGGUCGACGUAGAGGACAGUCAUGCAGCUUGCCAAAAUCCCAUUUAUCACCAUUGAAUGAAUGUGUCGGGAGGAGGAGCCGGUAUUCCCCUCCUCUCCCUAGAGAGCAUGAGCAGCAUGGUAAUAAUAAUUGGCGUAACCUAAGCAUAGUAACACGUCUAUUUGGCAGUUAUGGAUAAUGUAAGUGGAACAAACAAGCGGUUAUAUCACUCGAUUGUGGUGUUAACACCAUGCAAUACUUUUUGACUUUACAACCACGCCCACUUUGUGUUACAUAACUCCAAUACUCAUGGCAUUUAAACUGCCCCCCGUGUAAACACCCAAAAUGUUGCUCUGCUGAGCUGUUACUAACUUAUCUUUUUUCCCCAGGCAAAUGCUGAUUCUGAGGCAGCAGAGGUGAGUAAAAAACCUCUGAAUAAAAGAGAAAGUGUGCAUGUUAAAGUUCUUAUGAUGUACAAAUAUUAAUGUUAAUACAAUUCCAUUGGUCAGCCACCAGAUGUCAGCAUCAAACAGUCUUGUCAAAACCUGCCCCCGUUUAAUGAUGGUAUAUUUCUUUUUUGGGGGGAUGUUUUUCAGCCCAAGAGAAGAUCUGAGCGAUUGGUUAACGUGAGUACAUUAAGUUUCUAUAAUAAGCGUGUAAAAACCACACAAAAAAAACAUAGAAUUCCAGCUAAGAAACACACUGAAUGAAAUAUUUAAUUGCAGAAACCGGCUACUCCAAAGGCAGAGCCCAAGCCAAAGAAGGAGAAGGCAGCACCUAAGCCCAAGAAGGCUAAAGAGGUGAAGAAGACUGAGCCUGAGGAGAAGGAGGAGGUGCCCGCAGAGAAUGGGGAAGCCAAAGCUGAGGAUGAGGCACCAGCCACAGAUGAACCUGAACAGAAAGAUGAUGAAGAGGAGGCAGCAGAAUAACAUCUCUCAAACCACAUCUUUUAUCAGUGCUCCCUGUACCUCUUUUUCUUGUACAAUUCAGGGGAAUAUUUUUAUCGACUUUUCUAAAUGCAGGUUUUUUAGUAGUUUGAUUGUAGAAACAUUUUUUUAUGAAACAAAAUAAAUUUGGAGACAGGGAUUUCAAUGCAUCCCGCAUUUUUACAUCUCCGGAACAAUUAUGGUCAUUGUAAAUUGUCAAAUGUUUUUAUUUUCAAUGUAGGGGAAAGAAGGGGUGGGACAGGUUGCUGUAUCAAGAACAUGCAAUCACGUCGUUUACAGGAUCCGGUUGAAACAACAGAGCUUGCCUAAAAAGAGACUAACAUUCCAUAGGCUAUAUGAGGGACGGUAUAUGUAACCUGCAUUGUGUGGUGGGGAGGGGAUGAAUAACUGAACACAUUGUUGUAUUGUUUAUAAUGAGGAAAUGCGUUUUAGAAUGUUUGUAAGCUGUGUUCCACAUGUUAACUCUUGUACUCAUGGCAACUUUUUUUUGCUUUUUUUUUUUUUUUUUCGAACCAUUCUGCUUAAUAAACCUUUUCUCUAGUACUGGAGUUUCUCCCUAUCAGGCCUGUGCAUUGCGCGUAAUUGGUUUUGUCUUUGUUUUGUGAUAGCAUUGCAAUACAUUUGUAUAGAUGCUGUUAAAAAGGGUUUUCAAACAUUAUAUGCAGUGUGUACACUGUGAGGAUGGUAAAAAUGGAAUUCUGUGUUUUUAGCAAAGCUAAUGACAUGCAUAACAGUGUGAUACAAACAGUGGAUUAUAGUUCCUUGAAUGCAGAGACUGUGCGUCCACUGGAGCUGUCAAAUACACACACCAGCAGUAGCAAUAUUCAUAUGCGUUUUAGGUAUCAAGUUCAAGUGUACAGUUUCUUUUAUUUGUUUAUAGAUGUAUCUGUGUAAUGAUUGGUAUAAACCAAUAAAAUGUGGUUAUAAUUGUUGUCUAAUUGUGUUAUGAAAAUAAUGUGUGAAUCCAAACCCUCUAGUUAGAAGUAGAUAGAAUUUUAGAAGCUACUUGAUUGGAAAGUUAAAAAAUACACAGCAGUAACAAAGAACAUUGCAAUUGUGACUGGGAUGUCAACUGUUGUUCAAAGAAACAAACUAGAUAAUCCUAUAUAAUGGAAUUAAAUGAGGGAGAAAAAUUGAUGUCUCCUCUGUACUUUGAAUUCAAGCUAUAUAUUGUACAGUGUGAGCUAAGAAUAUAGAAUUAUAGAAUCUGAGUAGCAAGGUGAUAAGUCAAUUCCUCCUUACUAUCUGGAUAAUAAGGAAAAGUUGAAUGUGUGAUUACAGAUAUUGUGUUACAGACCUAAUUGCCUCUUCCCCUGAAAACCAUAAUGUACACUUGUCAAGGAAAGGGCUGAUGGCAACAACUACAAUUUGUCCUUUGAAAAAACUGGUUUCACUUUACGGACCAAUGGAAUGGUUUAAAGUCUGCCUAAUUGGGACAUGCAAACUACUCACUACUUUAGUUAUUCCAACGAGUAUUCACUCGCAUUGGAUUUCCCACUGAUCAAC